CCGGCGCGGGCGCGAAGCGCGUGUCGGGCGCGCAGCCCUCGAGGUCCCCACCCGGCGCGCGCGGGACGCCCACCAGGCCCUGCGCGCCCUCCUUGGGCGAGCUGUCGCCGAAGCGGCCGCUCUCCGACACGCUCCACACCGUCAGGUAGGGACGUCUCCAUUCCCGGAAGUAUAGGCCUUCCUUCCAUGCGGAUCCCAAAGCUACCAAUGCUGAGAGUGGAGAAGAAGGGAAAGGAUUGCAACAGCUGCUAGGAAUCACAUAGGGAGUGCACGAGACAUAGAAAGGAUUUGGACAUCUUUGUUGGCAUCAGAAGAGAAAAAGAGCCGUCACGGAAAGCUAUCUGAGGUUUGUCCUCUUUUAGCUGAACCAGCUGAAGUCUUAACAGAUUUGUGUAUGACUAAUACUUGGUGAAUAGCUGUGUGCUUAAAGACCCGUGAAAAUAAAAAUUAGAAGAGCAUCUUGGCCGCACAAUAUGGUGAACGUGCUCAGUGACUUUUUGUAUUUAAAAUGGUUGGUCCCCUGUUCAGUGAAUUUUACUUCCAUCAGACAAUUGAUGAAAGAAGAUGUGAAGCACUCGCUUGCCCCAACUACUUAACUACUUCAAAAGGAUGAAAACAAUCAACUGUGGGGAAAUACACAGAAGCCUUCUCACGAGCACUCAGAGAGAUGACCAAUUUUAAAUUCGUCUGAGAUCCUCAGAAAUUAAUUUUGAAAAUAAACCUUGCACAGAUUUGCUCAGAUAAUUAUAACAAAAUGUGACAUGAGUACAAAUGGUUCUGAAGCUUGCUAGUAUUAACUGUUUUUCACAUUUUCUGCCUCUAUGUGAGGGGACUUCAAAAAGCUCAUGGAGGGGCUGGUGCUGUGGUGUAGUAGGUUAAGCCACUGCCUGCAGUGCCGGCAUCCCAUAUGGGCGCUGGUUCGAUUCUCAGCUGCUCCACUUCCUAUCCGGCUCUCUGCUAUGGCCUGGGAAAGCAGUAGAAGAUGGCCCAAGUCCUGGGGUCCCUGCACCCACAUGGGAGACUGGAUGAAGAUCCUGGCUUUGGCCUGGCCCAGCUCUGACCAUUGAGGCCAUUUAGGGAGUGAACCAGCAGGAGGAAAAUCUCUCUCUCACUCCUUCUUGCUGUCUCUGUGCCUGUUUCUCUGUAAGUCCAAUUUUCAAAUAAAUAAUUUUUUUAAAAAAGAGUUUUAAAAUAGCUCAUGGAGGGGCCCGCACUGUGUCAUGGUGGGUUAAGCUGCUACCUGCAGUGCUGGGAUCCCAUAUGGGUGCUGGUUCUGGUCUUGGAUGCUCCACUUCAGAUUCAACUCCCUGCUAAUGUGCCUAGGUAAACAGCAGAAGAUGGCCCAAGUGCUUGAGGCCCUGCAUCCAUGUGGAGAAGCUCCUGGCUCCUGACUUCAGCCUGGUCUAGCCCCAGCUGGGCUUUCUUUAAGGAAAGAACCAGUGAAUGGAAGAUUCUCUCUCUCAAAAAAAAAAAAAAAAAAAAAAAAAAAAAAAACUCAUGGAAAACGUAUAUUAUGGCAGGUGUUAUGCUACUGCUUGGAAUGCCAGUCUCCCGUAUUGGAGUCCCUGAAUUCAAGUACUGCCUUUGCUUCCGUACAGCUUCCUAUAACGUGCACUCUGGAAGACAGCAGGUGAUGGCUCAAGUGCUUAGGCACUUUGGGGAGUGAACCAGCAGAUGGAAGACCUCUCUCUCUCUGCCUCUCUCUGCCUCUGUGACUCUGCCUUUCAAAUAAAUAAAUAAAUACCUUUUUUUUUUUUAAAAAAAAGAUGCACUUAUUUGCCUGUCUGUGAAUUUAAGUGAAACACCUUCCAAUUCAUUCCACUUUUCUUCUUUCUUUCUUUCUUUCUUUUUUUUUUUUUUUUUUUUUUUUUUUUUUUUCUGACAGGCAGAGUGGACAGUGAGAGAGAGACAGAGAGAAAGGUCUUCCUUUGCCGCUGGUUCACCCUCCAAUGGCCACCGCGGCUGGCGCGCUGCGGCCGGUGCACCGCGCUGAUCCGAUGGCAGGAGCCAGGUACUUAUCCUGGUCUCUCAUGGGGUGCAGGGCCCAAGGACUUGGGCCAUCCUCCACUGCCUUCCUGGGUCACAGCAGAGAGCUGGCCUGGAAGAGGGGCAACUGGGAGAGAAUCCGGCGCCCCGACCGGGACUAGAACCCGGUGUGCUGGCGCCACAAGGCGGAAGAUUAGCCUAGUGAGCCGCGGCGCCGGCCCAUUCCACUUUUCUUCAUUUUUUAAAAAAAUAUUUACUUUGGAGGCAGAGAAACAGAAAGGAAGAGGGACAGAUAGACAGGCAGAAACAGAGAUUUCUGAUCCAGUUAGUGUCCUGCAACAGCUGAGGCUGGGGUGGGGGCACAGAGCCAGGAGCAGGAACAGGAGCCAGGAACACAAUCCAGGUCUCUCACGUGGGUGGCAGGGACCCAGUUACUUGAGCCAGCACCGCUGCUUUCCAGCAUGAGCAGUAAGAGAAAGUUGGAGUCAGGAGCAGGAGCUGGGAAUUGAACUCAGGGACUCUGAUGGGGAACACAGGCGUCCUAACCACUAGUCUGACCACCUGCUCCCCAUUCCAACUUUUUGAUCUGUCUGUAUGCUCAUCAAACAACUGCAUAAUCUCUCAGCCUCACUGGUGACCAGAAAGGAGGGUGGGGGCCCCUGAUUAUGAAGUGGGAGCUUUUAGGUAUUGGGUCCAGUCUGAGUCUAAUCAGCCCAAGGCCACCAGGCCAAACCCGAAGCCCAAGAAAGUCAGGUUCAUUGGCUCUGGGAAAUGAGAGACUACCUAUCAGUGGAACUCCUGGACAUUUCACCAAAUAGAGAAAGAGAUAAGGUAAUCAGGUGAUUUGGGGGGAAGGGAGGUAUUUAAGUACUGAGGAGUGAAGCAAUGUUUUGGUGGCUUCCAGGCAAACAGGCUGCAGGUAAAGGGUCCACUUUGGGUCCAAACUGCAAGGUGGACUCAGGGACCUGUGUCAUGCAACUGUGUGUGUGAGAAGUUGAAGCUCUUCUUGAUGUUGAAAGAUUUCCAUCCUCUGGACAAAAGUGGAAUAUUUCAUUGUUACUGAUUUGAUUUCACUUGGCAAAGUUUCUGACAGCCGAGGUUGCAGAUAAAGUCUCUCAUUGACUCAAAAGGCAGAAAUCACUCAAAAGAGGGUUUGUUAGGCAUUUGACAGCUGGAGAGGGCCCCCAGAGAGAAUAUUGCUUCCCUGGGUGCAUUACACUAGCCAAUUUUUUCUUUCUCUGUCUGACUCCAUUUUUGCUUUCUCCAUAAAGCAUCUGGAGAGAGAAUUGUUGGGUCUUUAUAUAAAAAAAAUGACCAGCCAAUUUGCAGGAUAUAGUACACUCUAGAUGAGCACAAUAAAAAAAUAACUGCUAUGCUGAAAACCAAAGAAGAUUGGAUUAAGAUGGCAGAGUAGGGAGGGUGCUUACUGCUCUAGUCUAGGAGAAAAUAGUUUAUAAAAAAAAAAAAAUGGAGAGAAUGUAGUUUCAGGGAAGAGUUAGGGAGAAAACAGCAGAGGAAACUCCAUGUAAAUCAGAGGGACACUGUGGACCUACAUGGAGGAUGUCGACGUGCACGACUCAGGACCCCAGCACCUGAGUCUCCGGACUAGCUUUGGAGAGUGAGGUGAGAACAGACUGCAGCAUCCCAAGCCACUGGAGAUAAAGCUGCAGGAAGAGCCUGGAGGGAAUCUAGCUUGGAGGCCUGUGGGGGAUAGUGUACCUGCCAAACUAGAGGAAAAAGCAGAGGGGGCACAUUCCUCUCUGAUCACCCUGCAGUUGUGUCCUGUAACAAGCUAAUAGAGAGCGGUCACCAUUUUGGACAUACAUAACAGCUGUGCUGGCCUCAGGCCCAGCAACCAGCUGAGCAAAGACUCCUGAGUCUGGUGGGGAAAACAGACAGGGGGCUGGGUGCUUGUGACUGUGGGAGGCUUGUGUGCCGGGACUGUGAAAACACUGAGGCUGUGUGGGAGGACUCAGGGUGUGAAUGGGACUUUGGGCAGUCACUGUGGGAGGUCUCACACCAUUAGGGCUCCCUGGUUCCCUGGUGAGGGACAUUGCUGUGGAAUCUGUGCUUUCUCUGAGGACUGCACAGAUCCUUUGUGUGGUUCUUUAUUAUUAUUAUUAUUAUUAAAGAUUUAUUUAUUUAUUUAAGAGGCAGAGUUACACAGAGAGAGAAGAAGCAGAGAGAGAGAGAGAGAGGUCUUCCACCCACUGGUUCACUCCCCAGUUGGCCACAAUAGCUGGAGCCAUGCCAAUCUGAAGCCAGGAGCAAGAAGCUUCUUCCAGGUCUCCCACGUGGGUGCAGGGGCCCAAGGACUUGGGCCAUCUUCUACUGCUUUCCCAGACCAUGGCAGAGAGCUGGAUCAGAAGUGGAGCCACGGCCGGCGCUGCGGCUCAAUAGGCUAAUCCUCCACCUAGCGGCGCCGGCACACCGGGUUCUAGUCCCGGUCGGGGCACCAGAUUCUGUCCCGGUUGCUCCUCUUCCAGGCCAGCUCUCUGCUGUGGCCCGGGAAGGCAGUGGAGGAUGGCCCAAGUGCUUGGGCCCUGCACCCGCAUGGGAGACCAGGAGAAGCACCUGGCUCCUGGGUUCAGAUCAGCGCAGCGCGCGAGCCGUGGCGGCCAUUGGAGGGUGAAAAGGCCAUUGGAGGGCAAAAAAGGAAGACCUUUCUCUCUGUCUCUUUCUCUCACUAUCCACUCCGUCUGUCAAAAAAAAAAAAAAAAAAGUGGAGCCACCAGGACUUGAACUGUCACCCGUAUAGGAUGCCGGCACUGCAGGCAGCGGCCUCUGUGUGGUUCUUGUGGUAGCGUGAACAAAUGCUAUACUCUCUGGGGCUAGCACCCAGGCACUCCUUUGAGGAAAGGAGGUAAACUGAGUCUACACCAAUAAAGCAGAACAAACAUGCCCUCUGAUAAAAAAAAAUUAAAAAAAGAUUUACCAUGCCCAAUCUGGGAGUCACCUUGGACAUUCCCUUCACCUUGGAGCACUGAACAGAGCUCCAUCACAUGCUUGGAGGUAUUCCCUGAAAGCAGACACUCUGCUAAUCCACACUUAGUCCAAAGAUAAAAACCACCACAGUGAAAAAACAAAGAAACUAAUGACUAUCUCCACAAAUACCAAAUAACAAAUGUACCAAUUCAAGAAACAAGAAUAGGGAAGACAACAUGAUGCCUCCAAAAGAAUAUAACACUUCAAUACUACAUUGUGAAGAUGAUGAGAUUGAAGAAAUGCAAGAAAUGGAGUCCAGGAAAUUGAUCAUAAGAUUACAUAGAAGUAAUCAGAAGCAAAUGCACAAACUACUGAAAUCCAUACAGGACUUGAAAAAAAUUUCUCCCACAAAAUUGAGAUCUUGGCCGGCACUGUGGCUCACUAGGCUAAUCCUCUUCCUGCGGCACCAGCACACCAGGUUCUAGUCCCGGUUGGGGCACCGGAUUCUGUCCCGGUUGCUCCUCUUCCAGUCCAGCUCUCUGCUGUGGCCCAGGAGUGCAGUGCAGGAUGGCCCAAGUGCUUGGGCCCUGCACCCGCAUGGGAGACCAGGAGGAAGCACCUGGAUCCUGGCUUCAGAUUGGCACAGCGCGCCGGCCACAAUGUGCUGGCCAUAGCGGCCAUUUUGGGGGUGAACGAAUGAAAGGAAGACCUUUCUCUUUGUCUCUCUCUCUCACUGUCUAACUCUGCCUGUCAAAAAAAAAAAAAAUGAGAUCUUAAAGAGAAAUCAAAAUGAAAUCUUGGAAAUGAAGAAUUCAAUAGAACAAUUAUAGUCACAGCGGACUUAUCAGAAACCCUACAGGCUAGGAGAGAAUGGCAAGAUAUAUUCAAGUCUUAGGAGAAAAAACUUUCAACCUAGAAUACUGUACCCUGUAAAGCUUUAAUUUAUGAAUGAAGGUGAAAUAAAGACCUUCCAUGACAAACAGAAAUUGAAAGAAUUUGUCACCACCUGUCCAGCCUUGCAAAAGAUGCUUAAGGAUAUGCUGCACACAGAAACACAGAAACAUGGUCAUCACUACGAAAGAAGGUGAAGUUAGAAAAUCUCCUAGUAAAAGUACAAAGGAAACCCAAAGUAAAAAAAAGAAUAUUUAUGGAAAAAUGGCAGGGCAAAGUCGUUACUUAUCAACAGUUACCUUGAAUAUAAAUGGUCUCAACUCCCCAGUUAAAGGACAGACUGGCUGAAUGGAUUAAAAAACAAAAUCCAUUUAUUUGCUGCCUAUAAGAAACACAUCUCACCAAUAAAGACACACACAGACUGAAAGUUAAAGGAUGGAAAAAAUAUAUUCCAUGCUUACAGAAACCAAAAAAGAGCUGGUGUAGCCAUCCUAAUAUCAGACAAAAUAAACUAUUUCACAGAAACUAUUUAAAAAGACAAAUAAUGGCACUGUAUAAUGAUUAAGGGAGCAAUUCAACAGGAAGAUGUAACUAUUAUAUACAUAUACACACCUAAUUACAGGGCACCUGGCUAUUUAAAAGAAAUGUUAAGGGAUUUAAAGGGAGACAUAGACCCCCAUACAAUUGUAAUGGGAGACUUCAAUACCCCACUUUCAGCAAUAGACAGGUCAAUUAGAAAAAAAAAAAUCAGCAAGGAAAUAACAGAGUAAAUUGACGUUAUAGACAAAAUGGACCUAACAGAUAUCUACAGAACUUUCCAUCUUUAGCCACAGAAUACACAUUCUUCUCAGCAAUGCACAGAAUUUUCUCUAGGAUUGACCACAUACUAGGCCAUAAAGCAAGUCUCAGCAAAUUUUAAAAAACUUGAAAUCAUAUCAUGCAUCUUCUCAGAUGGAGUGAAGCUGGAAAUCAGCAACUGUGGAAUCUCUAGAACAUAUACAAACAUAUGGAGACUGAACAACAUGUUCCUGAAUGAACAGUGGGUCAUAGAAGAAAUCAGAAUAGAAAUCAAAAAAUUUCUGGAAACAAUGAAGAUGACAAUACAACAUAUCAAAACUUAUGGGAUACAGCAAAAGUAGUGUUAAGAGGAAAGUUUAUAGCAAUAGGUGCCUACAUCAAGAAACUGGAGAAGCACCAAAUAAAUGAGCUAUUAAUGCAUCUCAAAGAUCUAGAAAAACAAUAGCAAACCAAACCCAAAACUAGUAGUAGAAAAGAAAUAAUUUGAGAACAAAUAAACAAAACUGAAACAACAAAAAAAUAAAAAGAUCAGAAAAAUGAAGAGCUAGUUUAAAAAAAAAAUGAUACACCAUUGGCCCAGCUAACCAAAUAAAGGAGAGAGAAGACCCAAAUUAAUAAAAUUAGAGAUGAAAAAGGAAAUGUAACAAGACCCCACAGAAAUAAAAAUAAUCAACAGAAAUUACUACAAACAGCUGUAUGCUAACAAACUGGGAGACCCAGAAGAAAUGGAUAGAUUCUUGAACCAUACAAACUACCUAAAUUGAGCCAUGAAGACAUAAAAAACCUAAACAGAUUCAUAACCAAGAUGGAAAUUAACUCAGUAAUAAAGACCCUCCCAAAAAAGAAAAACCCAGGACUGGAUGGUUUCACUGCUGAAUUCUACCAGGCAUUUAAAGAAGAACUAAGUCCAAGUCUUCUCAAGCUAUUCAAAACAAUUGAGAGGGAGGAAAUCCUCUCAAAUUCCUUCUAGAUAACCAGCAUCACCUUAAUUCCUAAACCUGAAAAAUAAGCAACAGAGAAAGGGAACUACAGACCAAUUUCCCUGCUGAACACAGAUGCAAAAAUGCUCAACAAAAUCCUAGCCAAUUGAAUCCAACAACACACCAGAGGGAUCAUUCACCCAGACCCAGUGGGAUUUAUCUUUGGUAUGCAGGGACAGUUCAACAUUCACAAGUCAAUCAAUGUGAUACAUUACAUUAACAAACAAAAGAACAAAAAUCAUAUGAUUAUCUCAAUAGAUGCAGAAAAAGCAUUUGAUAAAAUACAAUAUCUUUUUAUGAUGAAAACUCUAAGCAAAUUGGGUGUAGAAGGAACAUUCCUCAACACAAUAAAGGCAAUUUAUGACAAACCCACAGACAGCAUCCUGUUGAAUGGGGAAAGUUGGAAGCAUUACCACUGAGAUCCAUAACCAGACAAGGAUAUCCAUUCUCACCAUUGCUAUUCAAUAAAGUCCUGGACAUUUUAGCCAGAGCCAUUAGACAAGAAAAAGAAAUCAAAGGGAUACAAAUUGAGAAGGAGGAAGUCAAACUAGCCGUUAUUGCAGAGGACAUGAGUCUAUAUUAAAGGGGAUACAAAAGACUCCACUAAAAGACUAUCAGAACUCAUAGAAGAAGUAAAGUAGCAGGAUAUAAAUUCAAUACAAAAAAAGCAACAGUCUUUGUAUACACAGACAAUGCCAUGGCUGAGAAAGAACUAAGAUAAAUCCUAUUCACAAUAGCUACAAAAAAAAUCAAAUACCUUGAAAUAAACUUAACCAAGGAUGGUAAAGAUCUCUAUGAUGAUAAUUACAAAA
This is a non-coding RNA of Oryctolagus cuniculus (rabbit), 8392 nucleotides long. The record is from RefSeq and is a predicted model, not a curated record. NCBI's taxonomy places the organism in Eukaryota, Metazoa, Chordata, Mammalia, Lagomorpha, Leporidae.